This 487-nucleotide ribosomal RNA is filed under the name Dalpada oculata. RNAcentral's name for it is "partial 16S ribosomal RNA". It matches the Rfam family "Bacterial large subunit ribosomal RNA", at positions 1923 to 2618 of the family's 2925-position model. RNAcentral also lists the same sequence under 1 other name. Lineage: Eukaryota; Metazoa; Arthropoda; Insecta; Hemiptera; Pentatomidae. The record is from RNAcentral.
UUAAAUAGCCGCAGUAUUUUGACUGUGCGAAGGUAGCAUAAUCAUUUGUCUUUUAAUUGAAGGCUUGUAUGAAUGGUUGGAUGAGGGAAUAGCUUUCUUUAUAUUAAAUAUUGAAUUUAAUUUUUUAGUUAAAAAGCUUAAAUAUUUAAGUGGGACGAGAAGACCCUAUAGAAUUUUAAUAAUAAUUUAUUAAAUAAUAAUUUUGGGUAGUACUUUUAUUAAUAAUUUAUUAUUUUUGUUGGGGUGACAGUGAGAUUUAAUUAACUCUCAUAAUAUAAUUUAUUAAAAAUAAAUAUAUUUAAAGAUCCUAUAUUAAGGAUAAUUAGAUUAAAUUACCUUAGGGAUAACAGCGUAAUUUCUUUGGAGAGUUCUUAUCAAUAAAGAAGUUUGCGACCUCGAUGUUGGAUUAAAAUUAGAUUUAAGUGCAGCAGCUUAAUUUCUAGGUCUGUUCGACCUUUAAAAUUUUACAUGAUCUGAGUUCAAACCG